AAUGGAGUCAUGGUGACUGCCAGGCCUUUUGCUGUGCUUUCGAUUCUGGUUGCCAGCUCUCCGCCACCAGGUCGUAGGCUCAGAAGAGAGAAGGCCUUUGUCCCUGUCCUGUGAGGACCACAGCGUACAGCUCCAGUGCCAGGAAGACUGAGAGGAAUGCAGCCGGUUUGGAGGCUGGGAAUCUGGGUUUGGAGCCACAGGGGGGGCUUGGCCCAAGGCACCGAGUUCAUGAGCCUGUGAAGGCUGCAGCACCAGCAGCAGAAAGAGGGCAAAGUAGAGCAAGUGGGAAGGACUCGGCUGCAAACACAGCUGAUGCGUCCCUGAAAACUCAAGGAGAAUCAGGUCAGAGAUUUUGCAGGGAACAGAACUAAAUGGACACAGUUAAUAUACGUGAAGAUGAAAGAAUGACUUCAAGCAUUUAUUCAAUCAUGUUCUGUGCUACCUAUGAACAACAAAGAUAGCAUUUACAACACUGUGGGAAGACCCUUCCAGCCUCAUGUGCCAAAGUCCUAUCAGAAAUUGCUUCAAGAAAGCAAGUGCCUGAUUUUACAUUUGAGUAAUUGUCUGACUACCCAAUUGUUUCUUAUCAACCAUCAGCAGCUUUUCCGUAAGAGCCUAAGAAGCAGAGCACAGAAUUAGGCUCACACAGACGGCCCCCCGUCUGCAGCGGGCUGAGGUAAGGAUCAUUAACACCACUGACAUCACUUUUGGCAGCCAGAGAAAAGGGAAAACCUGUGUUUAAUCUACUUCCUACUCACCACAAGUUUCAGCCGGAGUCCCCGAUAAUAUGGGUUGUGGUUGACUUUAUGGAAGAACUUGGUAAUGCAAGAAAAAUGUACUGCACUGAACAAGCAUCUUUAAAAAGGAACCACGAGGUACCUCAGCUGUGUGGCCCCGAUCUUCUGGAGGUAUUCUGGUCAUUAAACGGGCCUCAGGGAGGCCAGGGCCAUUCCCAACUGUUCCCAAUAAGACCAAGCUCAACAGAAGACUUCCCCCUCUGCACACAUCUAGUUAACAUCUCCUGGAGGCCAUCAGCAUAAAUCACAAAGAAAAAAGUUUUAUCUUUUGUCUUCCUUCUUGCCUUGAGAACACUAAGGGGGUUCGUGGGGGAAGAAUUUAAUCUAGAUUCUUCAAAGUAAACUGAGCUGGUGCUAUUUCUGGGGUCUAAAGGAUGAAUGAAAACUGUCUGAAACCAAUCGAAACUGGUCAUCAAUAUAGAAGUAUAGGGCAGCAUAUUUCAAUUGUAUUCAUGCACUAUUGUGACUUCCUCUACCUUAAGAAUUCUUGUUAAAGAAGUGCAAAGUCAUAAAGAUUUCUGGGCUAUGAAAGCAAAUCUUAAAAGUCGAUGUGAACGAGGAUACGCAAAACUACCCCAUCCAUACUAGGCUACAGAAGACCACAGGUGGGACCUCCAUGGAACUGGAUUAUGUUUAUGAGAAGGCGUAACACGGCUUGCAAUAAAGUAAUGCAACCUUGAGUUACCACUCCCUGAGUGAGGAGUAUCCU
This is a long non-coding RNA of Mustela erminea (ermine), 1506 nucleotides long. RefSeq lists it as uncharacterized. The record is from RefSeq and is a predicted model, not a curated record. The transcript has 3 exons. Lineage: Eukaryota; Metazoa; Chordata; Mammalia; Carnivora; Mustelidae.